RNAcentral lists this ribosomal RNA (769 nucleotides) under uncultured bacterium. Its description in RNAcentral is "bacterial SSU rRNA". It matches the Rfam family "Bacterial small subunit ribosomal RNA", at positions 63 to 844 of the family's 1533-position model. The record is from RNAcentral.
UGAGCGGAGAUAUAUGGAGCUUGCUUUAUAUAACUUAGCAGCGAACGGGUGAGUAACACGUAGAUAAUCUAUCCUAUACUGGGGGAUAGCCCGAUGAAAGUUGGAUUAAUACCGCAUAUAGCUAUAUAGUUGCAUGAUUAUGUAGUGAAAGAUUUAUUGGUAUAGGAGGAGUCUGCGGCACAUUAGCUAGUAGGUGAGGUAAAGGCUUACCUAGGCGACGAUGUGUAGCCGGUCUGAGAGGAUGAACGGCCACAAUGGAACUGAGACACGGUCCAUACUCCUACGGGAGGCAGCAGUGGGGAAUAUUGCACAAUGUGGGAAACCCUGAUGCAGCAACGCCGCGUGAGUGAAGAAGGUUUUCGGAUUGUAAAGCUCUGUUAGCAGGGAAGAGGAAGGACGGUACCUGCAGAGGAAGCCACGGCUAACUACGUGCCAGCAGCCGCGGUAAUACGUAGGUGGCAAGCGUUGUUCGGAAUAACUGGGCGUAAAGGAUGCGUAGGCGGUUAAACAAGUUAUAUGUUAAAUAUAUAGGCUUAACCUGUAGAAAGCAUAUAAAACUGUUUAACUAGAGUGCAGGAGAGGUAAGUGGAAUUCCUAGUGUAGCGGUGAAAUGCGUAGAGAUUAGGAAGAACACCAGUGGCGAAGGCGACUUACUGGACUGUAACUGACGCUGAGGCAUGAGAGCAUGGGGAGCAAACAGGAUUAGAUACCCUGGUAGUCCAUGCUGUAAACGAUGGGUACUAGGUGUGGGUUGUGAAUAACAAUUCGU